CCCCGGCGCCACAAGUGGUUAUCACGAUUAUUGGGCCUAAAGCGUUCGUAGCCGGUUUGGUAAAUCUCUUGUGAAAUUGUUCGGCUUAACCGGACAGCGUGCAGGAGACACUGCCAGACUCGAGACCGGGAGGGGUUAGAAGUAUUCCAUGGGGACUGGUAAAAUGGGAUAAUCCAUGGAAGACUACCGAUGGCGAAGGCAUCUAACCAGAACGGAUCUGACGGUGAGGAACGAAAGCCAGGGGAGCGAACCGG
Molecule: ribosomal RNA, 254 nt
Filed under: uncultured bacterium
Lineage: Bacteria
Also listed under: 1 other name
Description: partial 16S ribosomal RNA
Rfam family: Archaeal small subunit ribosomal RNA
Source: RNAcentral